Molecule: ribosomal RNA, 253 nt
Filed under: uncultured bacterium
Lineage: Bacteria
Description: partial 16S ribosomal RNA
Rfam family: Bacterial small subunit ribosomal RNA
Source: RNAcentral
UACGUAGGGUGCAAGCGUUAAUCGGAAUUACUGGGCGUAAAGCGUGCGCAGGCGGCUUUGCAAGACAGGCGUGAAAUCCCCGGGCUCAACCUGGGAAUUGCGCUUGUGACUGCAAAGCUGGAGUGCGGCAGAGGGGGAUGGAAUUCCGCGUGUAGCAGUGAAAUGCGUAGAUAUGCGGAGGAACACCGAUGGCGAAGGCAAUCCCCUGGGCCUGCACUGACGCUCAUGCACGAAAGCGUGGGGAGCAAACAGG